This 373-nucleotide long non-coding RNA is filed under the name Sorghum bicolor (sorghum). RNAcentral describes it as "long non-coding RNA (SBIC_LNC003391)". Lineage: Eukaryota; Viridiplantae; Streptophyta; Magnoliopsida; Poales; Poaceae. The record is from RNAcentral.
UGGCGCAAGCUUUCAAGGCAAUCUGUUAAAACCUUUUUUUUUUUAUUUACGCUGACUAUCUUUGUAUCGGCUGUCUGUGCUCAUAAACUCCUUUUUGUUGUCGCAGCAAACUGGUGCAUCGGCGAAAGUCAAACGCCAAGGCGCCGAUGCCCCCCAGUCUAGCCAGCCAAAGAGGAAGGGCAUCCACGGUACUAAGACUGGAACAAAGCGCCAGAAAGUGGCAACUCCUCCUUCUCCUCCGGUGUUUUCAAUUCCGGUGGAAUCUUCCCCUUCUUCUCCAGACGUCCAGGCACAGCAAGUACUAUCUCCACAACCAACACAGGAAGCACCACAGAUGGAAGAACCCCAACAGGAAGAACCUCAAACGGCAGGU